CAAUAGCGUAUAUUAAAGUUGUUGCGGUAAAAAAGCUCGUAGUUGGAUUUCUACCGAAGAUAGCCGGUCGGGUCUUCGACCUUGUAUCUGGUUUUGUCUUUGGUAUCCUCAUAGGGAACGUUUUUGCGCUUUAUUGCGUGGUGCGGUAUCUAUGACUUUUACUUUGAGGAAAUUAGAGUGUUCACGGCAGGCAAACGCCUUGAAUAUAUUAGCAUGGAAUAAUAACAUAGGAUCUUCGUCCUAUUUUGUUGGUUUCUAGGGCUAAGAUAAUGAUUAAUAGGGAUAAUUGGGGGCAUCUGUAUCAACGCGUCAGAGGUGGAAUUCUUGGAUUGCGUUGCGACAAACUACUGCGAAAGCAUUUGCCAAGGAUGUUUUCAUUGA
RNAcentral lists this ribosomal RNA (381 nucleotides) under uncultured eukaryote. Its description in RNAcentral is "partial 18S ribosomal RNA". It matches the Rfam family "Eukaryotic small subunit ribosomal RNA", at positions 592 to 976 of the family's 1831-position model. The record is from RNAcentral.